AGAUCGGGGCGCGCGGGGCUUGAGUCCCGGCCCUCCGGCUGUCCCGCUGCCCAUGUAGGAGACCCAGACCAUUUCUUGCGUCUGCACUUCGAUUAUUUCACUAAAAUAGUUUUUGACUUUUAAAGUUCACGAGACGCUCUCGUCUGUGUGGUCGGGGCUUCGCUGACUUUCCCAGCCUACUUAAGCCCCUGGGCCUGGGCCCCAGGAAAGAAAAAAACCCUAAAUGUUUUAAAAGGGUGGCUGGAGGUGACCUCGUUCUGCAUUCAAGGUUAAAAAUCUGAAAAUUAGAAUAUGUGCUCUCAGCAAGAGUAUCUUCUAAAUAAUCAUUCAGCAUGAAACUUGAGCCCCAUAAGCUGAAAAUUACACUCAAGACUUUCCUGAGAAAUGCUCCCCAGUGACAUAUUUAUUUAACCCCCCUUCGAUGAGUCAUUGAUUCCAGGUAAAUCAGAGGAACAGACAUCAUGAACAGAAAUAAUACAGGAAGUGAUGUGAUGCCGAAGUUUAACUGUUGUUCCAGAAGUCCAGCAUCUGUGGCUCAUAACUUUAGGAACUGUAUCAUUUGCAAGGUCACCUAACUUUUACUCAUAUUGGGUUGGCCAGAAAGUUCACUCAGUUUUCCUGUAAGCUGAGAGAACCCGCACGGACUUUUUGGCCAACCCAAUACAGUAAGUUUUGUUUGUUUGUUUUUGUUUUUUUUUAAAUAAAUAUUGACAGUUUGUUCCAGAAAACCUAAAUUGUAAAUUGCCUACUCUAAGCUGCCUGAUUCUCUGCUUGUGUUCACUGGAAUAGGGAGAAGAAUUUGCAAACUGAUUAUGUGAGGGUCCGAAAUGUAAAACCGAGCCGUGGGGAGUAGCCUGUUUUUUGCCUGGUGUGUAAUAUCGGCUUUGCCUGUUACAACUGACAGACAUUUUAUUAAGUUGAGAAUAUAGCUGUCAUUAAAGACUAAGAAUAAUCCUUGAGCAGGAAGAAUAUGAACCCUAUGUUUUCCAAAAUUACGAUAGAGUUGCUGGUUACAGUCAAGUAUGGUGAGACCGUCCGUGAAAGGCAAGGACAUGGAAAAGCAAGUGGGAGUUCUUUCC
Molecule: long non-coding RNA, 1079 nt
Organism: Bos taurus (domestic cattle)
Lineage: Eukaryota; Metazoa; Chordata; Mammalia; Artiodactyla; Bovidae
Source: Ensembl